RNAcentral lists this ribosomal RNA (405 nucleotides) under uncultured bacterium. Its description in RNAcentral is "bacterial SSU rRNA". It matches the Rfam family "Bacterial small subunit ribosomal RNA", at positions 356 to 773 of the family's 1533-position model. The record is from RNAcentral.
GGGGAAUAUUGCACAAUGGGCGCAAGCCUGAUGCAGCGACGCCGCGUGAGGGAUGACGGCCUUCGGGUUGUAAACCUCUUUCAGCAGGGAAGAAGCGAAAGUGACGGUACCUGCAGAAGAAGCGCCGGCUAACUACGUGCCAGCAGCCGCGGUAAUACGUAGGGCGCAAGCGUUGUCCGGAAUUAUUGGGCGUAAAGAGCUCGUAGGCGGUCUGUCGCGUCUGCUGUGAAAACCCGAGGCUCAACCUCGGGCCUGCAGUGGGUACGGGCAGACUAGAGUGCGGUAGGGGAGACUGGAAUUCCUGGUGUAGCGGUGGAAUGCGCAGAUAUCAGGAGGAACACCGAUGGCGAAGGCAGGUCUCUGGGCCGCAACUGACGCUGAGGAGCGAAAGCGUGGGGAGCGAAC